GUUUAGGGUUUAGAGUUUAGGGUUUAGGGUUUAGGGUUUAGAGUUUAGGGUUUAGGGUUUAGGGUUUAGGGUUUAGAGUUUAAGGUUUAGGGUUUAGUGUUGAGAAAUGAGGUUUUGGGGAUAAGAAUUCAAAUUUUGAAAAAUAAAAAAAUUAAAAUUUUCAAAGGAUAAACUUAGAAAUGUGCUAUUUUGGUCAUUUUAGUUUUGGAGUGCUAUUUUUGUGAUAUAAACUUAGAAAAGUGCUAUUUUGGAAAUUUGUCCGGCAAUAAACUUGAAUGAUUUUUUUCUCGCUUUCAUUUGACCAGAGAACACACAUAUUUAUAGGAGGGGUAAGUCGGCAACCAUUACCUUCACCAAAAAGUAAAUAAUAUUUUACUACCAAAAGGAUAAACAUUAUCCUUAUAUUGGAUAAUCAUUCAUUAUCUAAUAACUACUACAUAUUUAAAUAAUUAUAUU
RNAcentral lists this long non-coding RNA (456 nucleotides) under Brassica napus (rape). RNAcentral describes it as "long non-coding RNA (BNAP_LNC012407)". The record is from RNAcentral. Lineage: Eukaryota; Viridiplantae; Streptophyta; Magnoliopsida; Brassicales; Brassicaceae.